UGAUGCAGACAGUUUCAUCCCACAAAUUCUCCACAGCAGGUUGCUUUCCUUUUCUCCUUUGAGUCUACUAGGGUUUGGUAGCUGGCGUCCCCUUCACAACUGUAACUGGACAUGAGGCAUGUACCAUCACAUAGUUGCUUACACUCCCUAGCAGAAUCCUGUAAUUGUAUAAUCACCAGUUAUUUUUCCAUGUUAUAUAUAUAGCAAUCAGAGAAUCUUUAAUUACCAUUGUAUAUGCUGCUUCCUCGGGUGGUGUAAACAAUUCAUGUAACUAGACGGAUCUCUUCAGAAAAACUAAGAUUGUUGGUCAAUUCAAUUAAUUAAUUAUUCUGUGUUUUGGGAUCAGAAGAAUAUGUACCAGUAGAAACUGCUAGUAAUUUUACAUCUAAUAGUAGCUAAGUAGAUUGAUGUGUGAGGAGUAAGUAUUAUUAGGAAAGGAAAAAGUAUGAAUGCGAAGUGUUAAGACCUUCUGAGAACACCUAAACCUCUGCUCCCAAGAACUAGACAAUCAAGCUUGAGGUCAUCCACAGCAUCGCACAACUUCUCCCUUGGAUCUCCCCAGUAGACCUUUGCCACCACCUUAGCCCCUUUGCUCCUUGCAACUGUGUCAAGUAUAUCAAGAACUUCUGGAUCUGGGUUUAACCCAUACUGCUUUGACAGGUUAAUAUCUCUGAAUUCCUCCAGAGGAACUAAAGCUGAAAUUCACCAAAUCACGAAACGAUCGAAAAAAGAAAAAGGAAAACAGAGAGUUGUUAGACUAAAAAUAUAUAGUGCUAAAGUAUAUUGGUUUGUUGCUGAUUGAUAAAAAGAAAUUAUUCUUACGAGAUCCAGUGUCUUCAAAAAGCUGCUUCUUGGGAUGCUCAGAUUUGGGGGACUGGACGUAGAUUAAGAUGAGGCAAUCUUCAGCAUCAAUCAGAUUAUCAACAGCCCAUCUCAGGGCUGAUUUGCUGUUUGCUGAAUUGUCCAUGCCAACGCCAA
RNAcentral lists this long non-coding RNA (978 nucleotides) under Vitis vinifera (wine grape). RNAcentral describes it as "long non-coding RNA (VVIN_LNC001040)". The record is from RNAcentral. Lineage: Eukaryota; Viridiplantae; Streptophyta; Magnoliopsida; Vitales; Vitaceae.